AUGUGGUGUGACUCUCCUCUCGUGUUUGAGCUCUUCCCACUAGAGUGAUUGUGACAUAUAGAUGAGCCCAUCUAUUAGGUUAUGUAACUUCCCUCUUCAUUCUGAUCUUUACCCACACAGAUAAUUGUGACAUAUUUCUAAGCCUCUCACCUAGAUGAUGUUACCUUUUUACCUGGGCCCUCCUCUCAGGGGUCAGGUAUUGCUAGAACUAAAGCAGAUGGUGUGACUCUCCUCUGCUGCCUAGCCUUUGCUCAAGGAAAAAUUUGUAAUGUUUCAAUGGAUCCAAGACCUAAAUGAUGUGACUAUCAUCCCUUGCCUGAACCCUGAAUACAUUGUGUAUUGUGACAUAUGGCUGGGUCCAACACCUAAGUAAUGUGACACUCUUGCAUGGGCCCUGCCAACAGAAGGCAUUAUGACAUAUCUCUGGGCACACCAAUUAUUUGAUGUGACUCUGCUGUUUUACCUGGACUUUGCCCAUAGAAGAGAUAGUGACAUACCUCUGGGUCAAGCAGCUAGGUGUUGUGACUCUCCUCUUUUGCCUGUGCCAGGCCCACAGAAGGAAUAAUGAGUUAUUACUAGACCCAGCACACAUGCAAUGUCAUUCUUCUGCCUGGAUAUUGUCGACAGUGGCCACUGUGACACAUCUCUGGGCCCAUGACCUGACCUAGGUGAUGUGUUUCUCCUCUUCUUUAUGAGACCUGCCCACAGUGGUAAUUGUGACAUACUGCUUGCUGCAGCACCUACAUAAUACUACUCUCUACUCUUGCCCAAGCCCUGCCCAUGGGUGUGAUUGUGACAGAUAAGUGAGCACUGACUCUAUGUUAUAUGAUGCAUUUCUUUUUUUCUAGCCCUGCCUACCGGGUACAUUGCUACAUAUUUCUUGUCCCCUCACCGAGGUGAUGUGACACUUCUGCCUCGGUCUUUCAGGAAGUAUUGACAUUGUGGCAAAUUGUUUCACCUAGCACCUAAGUAAUGUGACUCUUCUUUCCUUUUUGGGCUCUGCUCAAGGAGGCACUGUGAUGUAUCCCUGGACACAGCACCUAGGGGAUGUUACUCUCCUCUCCUGCCUGGGUCCAGCAUACAUUGUGUGUUGUAAUAUAUGGCUGGACUCAACAAGUAGGUGAUGCAACUCUUCUCCAUGAGCCCUGAAGACAGGGGUAUUAGAUGAUACAAUUUACUCAUCACCUAGGAGAUGUGACACAUUUUUAUUGCCUGAGACCUGUCCAAUAAGAAGAUUGUGAUGUAUCACUUGACCCAGCAUUGAGGUGAGGUUCUUCUUGUAGAAGAGGUGGUGACAUGUCUCUGGACCCAAGAGUAAGGUGAUGUUACACUUUUGCCUUGGUUCUGACCUCAGAAAGCUUUAUGACAUAUUGCUGGGCUCAGCACCAAGACGAUAAAAGAUUAUGACAUAUCACUGGACCCCGCAACAAGGUGAUGAGGCCCUUUUGACUGGGUCUUGAAUACACAGAUCACUGUGACAUAUUGCUGAGCCCUCAGAGAAGAUUGUGACAUACUUCUGACCUCAAACCCAGGCGAUGUGACUCUUCUGCCUGGGCACAGCCUAAAAAGGGGAUUGUGACAUCUCCCUGCGCUCCUCACCCAGGUUCUGCCCACAGGGGAGAUUGUUACAUAUAUCCUGGGCCCAGCUCCAAGAUGUUACUCAUUUGCCUUGGCCCUGUCUUCAGAAGGGUCUUGCUUAUAGAAGAGAUUGUUACAUAUCUCUGUUCCCAGCAUCUAAGUGAUGUAACUCUCCUCACCCGCCUGGGCCAUUUCCACAGAUGAAAAAGUGACUUAUCAUCCCUGGGCCAAGCACACAGGCAAUCUGAUUUAUUUCUCCUAGUCUCUUUCUACAGGGGGCAUUGCAAAAUAUCCCUUAGCCUAUCAACUA
Molecule: non-coding RNA, 1888 nt
Organism: Macaca mulatta (Rhesus monkey)
Lineage: Eukaryota; Metazoa; Chordata; Mammalia; Primates; Cercopithecidae
Source: RefSeq, a predicted model, not a curated record